AUAACGACUCUCGGCAACGGAUAUCUCGGCUCUCGCAUCGAUGAAGAACGCAGCGAAAUGCGAUACUUGGUGUGAAUUGCAGGAUCCCGCGAACCAUCGAGUUUUUGAACGCAAGUUGCGCCCGAGGCCUUCCGGCCGAGGGCACGCCUGCCUGGGCGUCACGC
Molecule: ribosomal RNA, 164 nt
Filed under: Nealchornea yapurensis
Lineage: Eukaryota; Viridiplantae; Streptophyta; Magnoliopsida; Malpighiales; Euphorbiaceae
Description: 5.8S ribosomal RNA
Rfam family: 5.8S ribosomal RNA
About the family: 5.8S ribosomal RNA (5.8S rRNA) is a component of the large subunit of the eukaryotic ribosome.
Source: RNAcentral